GUAGGAUUUUUAAUUAGACAACUAUCGAAAUAGACUACAGGAUGAGGAUAUGAACAGUUAUAGGUCUAUUUUUAGAGAAUUUCAGCAAUGAACAGAAUUCAUACUGUUUGGGUAAGCUACAAAAAAAAGCCCUGGCAUGUCAAAAUGUAAAAACAUUUCAAGAGAAAAACCAACAGAUUGAUAUAUCCUGAAAACCAGCAAAAACAAACAAAUAUGGCAGAUAGCAACCAGAUAACAAAUCAAAUCAAAUAUUUUAUUGUCGUAGAAACAUUACAGUUUGUGACCAACAUAUAUUAACACGAUAAACAUAUAUACAUACAUAUCAAACAUACACAAUAAAAACAGCAUCAAAAUUUAUAACAACAAACAAGCUGUUAAGAGUCCCCUGCCCUCAGUUCUAAUGACUUUUUCAAGAAGGAUCCUAACUUAUUUGUUUGUAGAGGCGUUGAUGGAUUUAGUAAAUAAUGAUUUUUUUCUUCUUCAGUUAAAUUAUUAAAGUUAUUAUUUUCAGAACAUAUGUGUUGAAAAAAGGCAUUUCUUAGAGUUUUA
Molecule: long non-coding RNA, 549 nt
Filed under: Mytilus galloprovincialis (Mediterranean mussel)
Lineage: Eukaryota; Metazoa; Mollusca; Bivalvia; Mytilida; Mytilidae
Source: RNAcentral